GGAGGGUCAAUCCGAUUGGCGACGGAACUUGUCUUGAAAACAAACGAGGUGUAAAAGCCCUUGGGGGUUCGACUCCCCCACUCUCC
This 86-nucleotide transfer RNA is filed under the name Streptomyces phage Faust. Its description in RNAcentral is "tRNA-Ser". It matches the Rfam family "tRNA". From Rfam's summary of the family: Transfer RNA (tRNA) molecules are approximately 80 nucleotides in length. Lineage: Duplodnaviria; Heunggongvirae; Uroviricota; Caudoviricetes; Stanwilliamsviridae. The record is from RNAcentral.